UUAGGAAUCUUCCCCAAUGGCGAAAGCCUUAGGGAGCGACACUGCGUGAAGGAUGACAGCCUUCGGGUUGUAAACUUCUGAACGAGGGACGACGGUACCUCGCUAACAGCACCGGCUAACUCCGUGCCAGCAGCCGCGGUAAUACGGAGGGUGCAAGCGUUAUCCGGAAUCACUGGGCGUAAAGGGCGCGUAGGCGGUUUACUAAGUCCGAUGUUAAAGACCGGGGCUCAACCCCGAUAGGGCGUUGAAUACUGGUAGGCUUGACGACUGGAGAGGAAAGUAGAAUUACCAGUGUAGCGGUGGAAUGCGUAGAUACUGGUAGGAAUACCCAUUGCGAAGGCAGC
RNAcentral lists this ribosomal RNA (344 nucleotides) under uncultured bacterium. Its description in RNAcentral is "bacterial SSU rRNA". It matches the Rfam family "Bacterial small subunit ribosomal RNA", at positions 355 to 725 of the family's 1533-position model. The record is from RNAcentral.